Molecule: long non-coding RNA, 617 nt
Organism: Daucus carota subsp. sativus
Lineage: Eukaryota; Viridiplantae; Streptophyta; Magnoliopsida; Apiales; Apiaceae
Exons: 2
Source: RefSeq, a predicted model, not a curated record
UAAUUUUUUUUUUGUUGCUAAUUUAGCAGUAACUAAUAUUGAUAAUGCAGGAAUGGGAGAAAAGGUUCCGUGAGCAUGUCAAACUCAAACUCUCUUUAUUUCAACUGGUAAAGAAGCAAACGUCUAUCAUGCUACAAAAUCUGAUGGUCAGGAAUCUGCGAUCAAAGUGUACGAAACUUCUGUACUUGUAUUUAAGUAUGCGUGGCAGUGGCAAUCCUCUGUCUUGUAAUCAUAUUUGAUAAUUGAGAGUGUAGUUGCAGAAUACUAGGGAUAUCAAAAACACCAGCAAACAAUAUAACCUGACCACACAGCACUUUGGUCUUGAUAUUCUUGAACAUUUCCGCGACAGAGAUAGGUAUGUAAAGGGAGACUACCAUUUCAGAUAUGGAUACUGCCAGCACAAUCCAAAAAACUUUGCAGAGUAUCAAGCUAAUAAGGUUCAGUCUUGCUUAAGGUUCUAAAUAAGUUAUAGAUUUAUAGAUUGCUUUUAUUUUGUUUCAAUCCUUAAUCCCUUGUAUUGCCUUAGUAUCAUGUACUGUGGAAAACUUUGCUUUGGAUUGAUUAAAUUUGCAGAGAUAUCAUAUAGAAAUAGAAAUGCUUAUAGUCUUUUAAUUUCA